RNAcentral lists this non-coding RNA (24 nucleotides) under Cricetulus griseus (Chinese hamster). Lineage: Eukaryota; Metazoa; Chordata; Mammalia; Rodentia; Cricetidae. The record is from RNAcentral.
CACAAUGCAUUCUGACCGGGAGGA